Molecule: ribosomal RNA, 474 nt
Filed under: uncultured bacterium
Lineage: Bacteria
Description: partial 16S ribosomal RNA
Rfam family: Bacterial small subunit ribosomal RNA
Source: RNAcentral
GACGAACGCUGGCGGCGUGCUUAACACAUGCAAGUCGAGCGGUAGGGCUCCUUCGGGAGUACACGAGCGGCGAACGGGUGAGUAACACGUGAGUAAUCUGCCCUUCACUUCGGGAUAACCACCGGAAACGGUGGCUAAUACCGAAUACGACCAGUCUUCGCAUGAGGUGCUGGUGGAAAGUCUUUUCGGUGAAGGAUGUGCUCGCGGCCUAUCAGCUUGUUGGUGGGGUAAUGGCCUACCAAGGCUUCGACGGGUAGCCGGCCUGAGAGGGUGACCGGCCACACUGGGACUGAGACACGGCCCAGACUCCUACGGGAGGCAGCAGUGGGGAAUAUUGGACAAUGGGCGAAAGCCUGAUCCAGCAACGCCGCGUGAGGGAUGACGGCCUUCGGGUUGUAAACCUCUUUCAGUACCGACGAAGCGCCCUGUCGGGUGGUGACGGUAGGUACAGAAGAAGGACCGGCCAACUACGUG